Molecule: transfer RNA, 87 nt
Filed under: Psychrobacter immobilis
Lineage: Bacteria; Pseudomonadati; Pseudomonadota; Gammaproteobacteria; Moraxellales; Moraxellaceae
Also listed under: 60 other names
Description: tRNA-Leu
Rfam family: tRNA
About the family: Transfer RNA (tRNA) molecules are approximately 80 nucleotides in length.
Source: RNAcentral
GCCCGGGUGGUGAAAUUGGUAGACACAAGGGAUUUAAAAUCCCUCGCUAGUAAUAGCGUGCCGGUUCAAGUCCGGCUCCGGGUACCA